CAGGGUCUCUACUGGGGACUUCUCUGGGACAGUUUGUUUCUGCAGGCCUCAGAGAAAAAGGGUAGUGUGGCAGAGAAUGCCAGCAGACAAUAAACUGAUGGAACUGCUGUUAAUUGGCUGUCCAGGUCUGUGCUGGUGAGAGGAAGCAGUUAAGGACACUAAAACCUUGAUCAUCAAAAGAGGAGGAAAAUACAAGUUUAAUGGCAACUUACCCUUUUUCACGUCCCACUCAUUUAUUGAUGUGGGCAAGCAGGAUGAAUUGAUCGAGGACACACAUGUCAUCUUUUCAGUCUCUAUCACCCUUUCAGUUCCCAUCCAUUCCUCUUGCCUCUGCCUUAUUAAAAAGGGUGGUAUGGUGGCAUUUGUUUGAUUAACUUGUCUGACAAAAGUGACAGCUGCUCAUGGGUGUAUGUGGAUGAGUGGCCCAGCGCCGCUCCUUCUUUGUACGUUUGUCAGAGCUGGAGCAGGGCGAGUGGGGUGAAAAGAGACAAAUUGGACCCAAAAAGAAGGCCAUUCACCUUCUCUAGACCCCCCUCAGUCACUACACCCCUCUAUCCCAUUCAGGUUCUCGGCGGGACCCUCAAGUGCUUGCUGGCUUAUUCCAUUUUCACUCCCCCUAUAGAGUUCCCUGAGCCCACAAGUGUUUUAGUCUUCUCUUUUCUUUCCUCAAUCCACCCCUAAGCGGCUUUUUGUAAGUAGAAUGGCUCACUUUUCUCAGGGCCUGAAGCUGGCAGCUUUUUUCUUCUUUUAUUGUCAACCACAGAGCUUUUCUGUAGCUCAUUGUAUAUUUACUCAAUGACUGGUUGCUGACCGUAAUUCCAACUGUUUAGUCCCUCACAACAUGGCCCCUCAACCCAACCACCCAUUGCCCCGACAUACAGCCAUUUA
Girardinichthys multiradiatus is the source of this 888-nucleotide long non-coding RNA. RefSeq lists it as uncharacterized. The record is from RefSeq and is a predicted model, not a curated record. The transcript is spliced from 3 exons. NCBI's taxonomy places the organism in Eukaryota, Metazoa, Chordata, Actinopteri, Cyprinodontiformes, Goodeidae.